This 585-nucleotide ribosomal RNA is filed under the name uncultured bacterium. Its description in RNAcentral is "bacterial SSU rRNA". It matches the Rfam family "Bacterial small subunit ribosomal RNA", at positions 338 to 916 of the family's 1533-position model. The record is from RNAcentral.
CCUACGGGAGGCAGCAGUGGGGAAUUUUGGACAAUGGGCGCAAGCCCGAUCCAGCCAUUCCGCGUGCAGGACGAAGGCCUUCGGGUUGUAAACUGCUUUUGUACGGAACGAAAAAGCCUUGGUUAAUACCCAGGGUCCAUGACGGUACCGUAAGAAUAAGCACCGGCUAACUACGUGCCAGCAGCCGCGGUAAUACGUAGGGUGCAAGCGUUAAUCGGAAUUACUGGGCGUAAAGCGUGCGCAGGCGGUUAUAUAAGACAGAUGUGAAAUCCCCGGGCUCAACCUGGGAACUGCAUUUGUGACUGUAUAGCUAGAGUGCGGCAGAGGGGGAUGGAAUUCCGCGUGUAGCAGUGAAAUGCGUAGAUAUGCGGAGGAACACCGAUGGCGAAGGCAAUCCCCUGGGCCUGCACUGACGCUCAUGCACGAAAGCGUGGGGAGCAAACAGGAUUAGAUACCCUGGUAGUCCACGCCCUAAACGAUGUUAACUGGUUGUUGGGUCUUCACUGACUCAGUAACGAAGCUAACGCGUGAAGUUGACCGCCUGGGGAGUACGGCCGCAAGGUUGAAACUCAAAUGAAUUGACGG